AUCCUUGGGAAAUAAAAGGUGGCUCUGCCCUUUCUGCCCAGGACAUUCAUCCCAACCCAGCCAAUUCAUACCUACCUUCUGUCAGAACUUAGAAAGGAUGCAAAGCAAUCAGGAAGAACCAGCCCCUGGGCCUGGGGAAACUGUCAGGAGCAGUGACAUCACAGGAAAAACCACCAACCAGGGCCAAGGAGAACAGAGCCCAGCCCCUCGCCCAGAGGAUCUCAGUCAGAGGCCCCAUUUCAGACCCCAGGCUAGCAUGGGCUGCAGGCUGCUCUGCUGUGCACUGCUCUGCCUCCUGGGAGCAGUCCCCAUGGACACUGGAGUUACCCAGACACCAAAACACCUGGUCAUGGGAAUGACAAAUGAGAAGUCUUUGAAAUGUGAACAACACCUGGGGCACAAUGCUAUGUACUGGUACAAGCAGAAAGCUAAGACGCCACCAGAGCUCAUGUUUGUGUGCAGCUAUAAGGAAAUCUCUGUAAAUGAAAGUGUGCCCAGUCGCUUCUCACCUGACUGUUCCGACAGCUCUCAGUUAUACCUUCACGUACACGCCCUGCAGCCAGAAGACUCGGCCCUGUAUCUCUGUGCCAGCAGCCAAGACACAGCCUUGCAGAGUCACUGUCUCCCUGUGCAGAAACCUUUGGGGCCUGGCAGGAAGCUGUGGGGAGCACGGAGGGCUUGGGUGACCACUUCCCGCAAGAGCCCCAACAGAAGCUUCAGAACAUCAUAGCACCUACUAAUUCAUCUAUGUGGCAACUUUAUAUGCUACGCAUAUAUUUAGAGUGUGGGUUUUCUUUUGCCUGAGUGUGACUCUGCCCUGUCAACUGAUUUUUUAAAAAUAUAAACAUAUUUAGAUCUAGUUUUCUUCAAAUGCUUUUUAAAA
Molecule: non-coding RNA, 883 nt
Organism: Sapajus apella (tufted capuchin)
Lineage: Eukaryota; Metazoa; Chordata; Mammalia; Primates; Cebidae
Source: the annotation of a RefSeq genome assembly